Molecule: ribosomal RNA, 450 nt
Filed under: uncultured bacterium
Lineage: Bacteria
Description: partial 16S ribosomal RNA
Rfam family: Bacterial small subunit ribosomal RNA
Source: RNAcentral
CCUACGGGAGGCUGCAGUCGAGAAUCUUCGGCAAUGCGCGCAAGCGUGACCGAGCGACGCCGUGUGUGGGAUGAAGGCCUUCGGGUUGUAAACCACUGUCGUAGAGGAGGAAGUUGAUUGGGGUUCUCCCCAGUCAUUGACCUAUUCUAGGAGGAAGGACGGGCUAAGUUCGUGCCAGCAGCCGCGGUAAUACGAACCGUCCAACCGUUAUUCGGAAUAGCUGGGGUUAACGGGGCCGUAGGCGGCGCGUGAAAGCCCUCGGCUCAACCGAGGAAUUGCGCCCGAUACUGCAGUGCUUGAGGGAGACAGAGGUAAGCGGAACUGAUGGUGGAGCGGUGAAAUGCGUUGAUAUCAUCAGGAACACCAGUGGCGAAAGCGGCUUACUGGGUCUCUUCUGACGCUGAGGUACGAAAGCUAGGGGAGCGAAGGGGAUUAGAUACCCCGGUAGUC